GUAACUUUGAAGUGUAAAUCAAGGUUUAUUAUACCAAUCUUCCUCAAAAUAGAACUUCACUGUUCAGCCCACAUCCAAGGAUUUUGGCAAGUUUCAAAUCCACUUUUUGGUUUUCCUUUUUUCUUUAUUUUUAUAACUUUAUGUUGUGCAAAUCCUUGCCAGUAUAUUACCAUUGUGUAUGUACGUUCUUUAAAGUAGGUUUCUUUCAUUCAUAUUCUCAUCUUUCUCCAAACCCACAGACCCCUGUUUCUCUUCGUUUCUCCGAUCAUAGGGAACCAAUUUUAGCUUCAUUUAUUCAGGUUUUUCUUUUUUGUUUUCAAUUAAAUCUUGAACUAUGCUCCCAUUUUCAAUCUAUGUACUGUAGUCUUGCUCAUACUUCAUUCGUUUCAUUGAGCUGAGCAUUCUUGUUUGUCUCUUGAGCUCUUCCAUUCACGUGAAAUUCAGAAAUUCUUUUGUCGUCUUGUGCAUUUCAGUUGUCUGUAUUUGGAUUCUCCAAGAUGGGUUUCUUUUUUUAACCCAAUUGAUUGAUUGCUUCAAAUCGAAGGUUACUUGGGGAAGAUAAUUUUGUAGCUUUCUUUCUAUUUAUGCUUAGUGGAGGGAGGUGGGGGGGUUUCUGGGGAUUAUGCUGAUUGCUUUGAUGGCUCUUAAUGUAACCUAGAUUUUGUUUGUUAAUGAUGAUUUGGAAACUAUGAUAUGAGUUGAGUUUGUUGGGGUUGAAGAAGUUUACAAGAAAGAAGAUGGUGUUUUGCCUGUUUAUUAAGGUGGGUUUCUUUUGAGAACUCAUAAGCUUUGAUCUUUCUGUAUAAUGGAGUCCUGGAAUUAUGGUUCUCAAGGGAAGGGAUUUCUGUCUGAUGAGAUGAAUUCAUCUACUAAUUCACCACUGAGAAGUAAAUAUUCUUUGUUGGGUUGGGAAUUCAAGAACCCAUGUAGUUUUGGGGACAACAUGCUUCUUACAAGUGGUGCUCAGCAUGUGGAGAAUCAGAGCUUUGGGGAACUGGAAUUUCCCCAAAUGGUUGGAAAACAAUUACCUGAUGAUUCUGUCAGUGAUGUCUUGAAUACUAAAACUGAUGGAGGGAGAAACUUGAAUCUGGUUCUUCCCACCUCUCAUCCACAUCAUGGAGAAGAAGAGUCCACUUCGAAACUCUCUGGCUCCAUUGUAGACUCUAACAAUCGAGAUUCAUCUCUUAUUGAUUUGAAGCUAGGCAGAUUCAUUGAUCAAGGGGAUGCUCACAGUUCCAAAUACUCCAAGAGAGCUGCAAUUUCAUCUUCCACUGAAUCAUCAACUUCUCAUAAGAAAAUGCGAUCUCAAGGUGUGAAUUUCCAGACUGCGUUUUGCCAAGUCUAUGGUUGUAACAAAGAUCUCAGCUCCUCUAAAGACUACCACAAGAGGCAUAAAGUUUGUGAGGUUCAUUCAAAGACUGCCAAAGUUAUUGUGAAUGGCAUAGAACAGAGGUUUUGUCAGCAAUGCAGCAGGUUUCAUUUGCUUGUUGAAUUUGAUGAUGGUAAACGCAGCUGUCGAAAACGGCUUGCAGGCCAUAAUGAACGAAGAAGAAAGCCUCAAGUCAGUUUUCACUCAGGAAGGGCACAGAGGUUGCUUCAGCCUUAUAAUGGUAUUGGAGACGGCAGAUUUCAGGAGAAAACGUUGACUGCAACUUCAUUUAUCUGCAAAGAUAUACUGUCCAGUGGUCUGUAUUAUCCAGAGAAGCUUGGAGAAAACGAUUGGUGUAAGCGUAUAAAAGUUGAGGGCAAGAGUGAUUAUAAUUCUAUAUCUGCAACUUCACUGAGCAACAGGCAUUUGAAUGUGAAAUCUCCCUUGCUUCCCUAUGAUUUUGAAGUACAGCUUCCUCCUUUCCAAGAAAAUGGAACUAGUACAGCACCUACAGUAAACAUGUUAAGUGAGACAACUUGCCAAUAUUCACAUAAUGUGGGAGGUCCCCAUAUUGAUACACAUCCUUUGUUCCACCAAACUACCUUAUCAAGCGAAGAAUUUGGAGUUUAUGAUGCAGCAUCAACCAUCCAAGGACUUUCUGGAAUUCCAGACUCUGGUUGUGCUCUCUCUCUUCUGUCAUCUCAAUCACAAAGUGCAUCGAACCAUCCAUCCAUAGUUCACAUUCCUCGUGCUUUCAUCAUGUCCGAGAGUCAAUCGAAUUAUAGCAUGAGCGAACUCUCCGAAAAGCUCAUGGGAGUGAGCCCACAGGCUUCUUCAACUGGGAUUACGAGUAAAUUUGCCUCGGGGAUGGGUGAAGCUCAAAUGGGUCCCAUACCGACGUGUGAAAGUAGUGAUCGUACUGUCACCUUUCAGAUUCCUGGUAGGGUUCUUCAUAGAUCAGGUUUGGCAAAUCCUAAAGCUAACAUUUCCUAUGAACGCACUCCAACUAUUGACUUGCUACAACUUUCAUCACAACUCCAGCGAGUGGAACAUCAGAGGCACUCCAUGCAGUAAUACUCACUGGGUUCUGGGUUCAAGCACUGACAAGUACAAUGGCAAUUGUAAGGUAUAGGAAAGUACACUGGCAUUUACUUCCUUGUUCUUUGUGUUAUCAGGAUCAAUGAGAUCAAUAAAGUUGGAGCCCAAAUUAAAAGUAAUCUAGAAAGUACUUGUUUUUUCUUCUUAGCCAGACAAGAAAACCGGUUCCAUCACUAUUAGUGGAAGAAUGCUACAACAAAUUGCUAAGGUCAUCACUGCUAAUUCUACGUUGUCGUGUUAUUCUUUGCCUAUUGUAGUAUGAGAGUGUUUCUUUUCUACCAACAGAACCACGGAGGACUAUGACUCAGCAUAGGAGACUUCGUGAAGGCUAGUGAGAAGUUGAAGCUUGAACCCAUCACACCUAUGCCAAUGGUACAUUUUGUUAGCCAAGGAGAGAAUAAAUUGUUGUAUAAUCUUCCUAUCUAGUACCUCUAACCUUGUCUUCUUUUCUGAUUCUGUUGUUGUUUCUAAAAUACCAAUGUUUUUAUCUUGGGACUAGCUUGUCGAAUCCCGAAAAUUUUUCGUCGUAAAAUUUAGUUUAUACAAUUAUUGUAGUCCUCAGAGAUUCGCCCUUUGAUUAUGAUGCUACACUUGUGCUUAAUGUCUCAUUGCAUAUACCUAGGUUGAAGGUUUUGUUCUUACAA
This is an RNA transcript of Cucumis melo (muskmelon), 3111 nucleotides long. It is a transcript of the gene named squamosa promoter-binding-like protein 12, with no coding region annotated. Lineage: Eukaryota; Viridiplantae; Streptophyta; Magnoliopsida; Cucurbitales; Cucurbitaceae. The record is from RefSeq and is a predicted model, not a curated record. The transcript is spliced from 5 exons.